GUCUUCUUAGUGUACUUAAAACAAGUGACUUCCAAUUACUAGAACCCGGUUUAACCCCGGGAGAAGAUA
This 69-nucleotide transfer RNA is filed under the name Platyplectrum melanopyga (Wokan cannibal frog). RNAcentral's name for it is "tRNA-Gly". It matches the Rfam family "tRNA". Rfam says of the family: Transfer RNA (tRNA) molecules are approximately 80 nucleotides in length. Their secondary structure includes four short double-helical elements and three loops (D, anti-codon, and T loops). Further hydrogen bonds mediate the characteristic L-shaped molecular structure. tRNAs have two regions of fundamental functional importance: the anti-codon, which is responsible for specific mRNA codon recognition, and the 3' end, to which the tRNAs corresponding amino acid is attached (by aminoacyl-tRNA synthetases). tRNAs cope with the degeneracy of the genetic code in two manners: having more than one tRNA (with a specific anti-codon) for a particular amino acid; and 'wobble' base-pairing, i.e. permitting non-standard base-pairing at the 3rd anti-codon position. Lineage: Eukaryota; Metazoa; Chordata; Amphibia; Anura; Limnodynastidae. The record is from RNAcentral.